Microcebus murinus (gray mouse lemur) is the source of this 2523-nucleotide non-coding RNA. The record is from RefSeq and is a predicted model, not a curated record. Lineage: Eukaryota; Metazoa; Chordata; Mammalia; Primates; Cheirogaleidae.
GCUCAUCUCUGCUCUAGUCAUGUUAGCUGGAGCAGCUGAAAGACUGGGUCUGGGAUCCUCUGGCGGCUCUGUCACUCACACACCUGGCAAUUGGUCCUGGCUGUGGGCUGGGACCUUAGCUGGAGCUCUCAGCAAGCAAAUCUAUACAGACCGUCCCCACGUGGCCUGGGCUUCCUCACAAGUCGUGGCUCGGUUCCAAGGGCGAGGUUGCUAAAAGAGGCAGGUGGAAACAAUGUCUCCUUUUAUGGCUACUCACAAACUAUACAGCAUCAGUUCCACUGCUUUCUGUGUGAAGGUAGUCACAAAAACCCACCCAGUUUCAAGGGGAGGGGGAAAUAGAUGCCACAUCUUGGUGGGGAAGCAACAAUGUUCUGGAAGAACAUGUAGGACCAGAGAUAUUGUAGCCAUUUUUGGGAACUGCAAUCUGCCACACUUCUGCACUGUUCUGCAAUGGGCUAUGAUCUACCCCUGGAUUGGAGGUUGGGGGAUAUAAACUCCUAGGUUAUUUCAUCUGGGAAAAGUCUCUCCAGUAGCCGAAGGGUUAUCUGUUUAAGAUAGUCACUGGUGUGGGGUGUUCGUAAUAAAGGCAUGUGGAAGUUGGGGAAGACGUGUACAGAAACACUCAGGGGUAGGUCUAGGGCUUAUGGGUAGAGCAUCAACAGUGUCUGUUAUAGGAUAAUAAAAGAAAAUACUGAGGGUGAAUUAUAUCUCUGUCUCUCAUCUCAUGUGAUCACAGGCAGAGAAGGGAGAACCUGACAUCUCAGAGUUUCAGGGGACAUUAAGUGACAGAAAAUGUGAGACCCAGAAUAGCUGGAGGCCUGACUUACAGAGUUGGCCUGGCCCAGUGUGCCCAUCUCUCAAAUCCUUCUGAUCUCUGAUUGCUGAAGGGGUGGACCAGUGGCUCGCCCAUGAAUCCCACCAUCAUUUAGCCAUAACUUGCCUUGAUCCAACGUAGAUUGGAAAUCAAUCAUUUUGUUUUUACACAUGGUCCCAUAUGCAUGCAAAUAAGGAAGUCUUUAUCCACUGAGCAUAUUGUUUAAAUAACAGCAACCAAAAUACAUCUCGAGAUCUGUAGUGUUUGGGGUAUGGUGAACUAGCUUCUCUGAGAAGACAAUGGGAAAGAUCUUUUUCUAAGGGUGAGCAGGCGGAAGGAUGGAGCAUGUGCACAAAGUAGCUGAUGAGCACAUUGUCUUGGCUGGCAAAGCUGGCGUUUUGCAUAUUAGUUAAGACAGUGCCAUGGAAUAGGAUCUUCUGAUAUAAGAUUUUGUACUUUAUACCAAACCUAGAAGUUUUACUGCCCAAACUUCACAGGCCCUUAAGACCCCUCCUGCUGUCAGCAGUGUAGCUUUGAGGGAGGAAGACAGGAUUCCCUGAGGGGUCACAGGAAAGCAGCGAGGGAGGGAGAGGCCGUUCCUGGAUAUAACAGACAUCCUUUGCUCUGAAAAGUGGUCUCUACAGCAACCAGCCAUCUCCAGUUAUGACAUCACAGGAAGAUAAACCUGCCACGCUGCCUCAGUUUCCUCAGUGCAACAGGGACAAGACUGGUCUGAAGAGACACUGAUGGAGGAAGGAGCACUUAGGGGUCACUUGUGCUUGGCCAUCCAGCAGUGCCAAUGAGUUCUACAGACCUAUUCUUGGAAAUUCUUAUUGGAACAAAGCAGGUGAUCCCUGAAGGGUAUUGAAGGAUGAGGCUAAUGGUGAUGGAGUACUCAGCACCAGGCAAUGUUAGACACUAAGACUGCUAGUUUGAUGAGGCAGCCUUUCUUAAAGGACUACCCUACCAUCAUCUCCAGGAUUUCUUCCAAUUUGCUGACAAUCUUGGCUGGUGCUGCUGCAUAUGGACAGUCUGUGCCCGCUGUUCUCCCAGUCUCCCAGCUUCAGUCUGAGCACCUGACUCCAGCUGCCUUACGGACCUGAAAGUUUGCCCUCUCCCUCCGCCCCACCACAGCACACAGCAGUCGGGAGACCGUGCCGGGGACAGUAUUUGUCCUGGGCGGCUCUGGCCAGCUACUGCGAUUGGAGAGCAGCCUGGGAGCCUGAAGCUGUCCCUGAAAUGGCCCCGUCGGAGGAGACACUGACCCAGCCCGUAGACUCUGACUGCAGUGUCCUGUCUUAAUCUUCAUAUCUCCUAAUCUCUGCUGGUCUACUUAGUUCCCUGCCCCAAGUUAAUUUGCUGAGAAAACAGAGCCCUUUCCACUUUGCUGUGCUCAUUCUGCACUGCCCUGUGUUGUUAUUUUCUAGACUAAAUGUUUGUAUGUGUCCCCCACAAAUGCUUAUGUCGAAACCUAAUUCCCGAGAUGAUGGUGUUAGGAGAUGAGGCUUUGGGAGGUGAUUAGAGCAUGAGGGCAGAACCUCAUAAAUGGGACUGGUGGCCUUAUGUUAAAUAAAAGGGCCCCCAGAGCUCCCUCGCCUCUUCUACCACAUGAGGACACAGUGCAAAGACGGCCAUCUAUGAACCAGCAUGCAGACCCUCACCACACACUGAAUCUGCUGGCGCCUCGAUCUUGGACUUCCCAGCCUCCA